CGCCUCCUGAUUACCCAUAUGAGGUCCAGCCUGCCCAGUGACAUGAUUAAACGGCCGCGGUACUCUGACCGUGCGAAGGUAGCAUAAUCACUUGUUCUCUAAAUAAGGACUAGAAUGAACGACAUCACGAGGGCCUUACUGUCUCCUUUUUCCAAUCAGUGAAACUGAUCUCCCCGUGAAGAAGCGGGGAUCUUACUAUAAGACGAGAAGACCCCAUGGAGCUUUAAACCCAACAGGCAAUCCUAACCCCCUUUCCCCCCCAAAGUUUUUAAAUAGUGUCUGCUGGUUUUAGGCUGGGGUGACCGCGGAGUAAAAAUUAUCCUCCAUGACGUAUGGGACUUCCCCCCAAUCCACGAGCUACUGCUCUAAGAAUCAUCAAAUUGACGACAAAUGAUCCAAUCUAUUGAUCAACGAACCAAGUUACCCUGGGGAUAACAGCGCAAUCCAUUUCAAGAGCUCCUAUCGACAAAUGGGUUUACGACCUCGAUGUUGGAUCAGGGUACCCAAGUGGUGCAGCCGCUACUAAUGGUUUGUUUGUUCAACAAUUAAAACCCU
RNAcentral lists this ribosomal RNA (555 nucleotides) under Fejervarya cancrivora (crab-eating frog). RNAcentral describes it as "partial 16S ribosomal RNA". It matches the Rfam family "Bacterial large subunit ribosomal RNA", at positions 1832 to 2597 of the family's 2925-position model. Lineage: Eukaryota; Metazoa; Chordata; Amphibia; Anura; Dicroglossidae. The record is from RNAcentral.